UCGAGGGGCAGCAUAACACUUCGGUGUUGAUGGCGACCGGCGCACGGGUGCGUAACACGUAUAGAACCUACCCAUAACAGGGGGAUAGCCCAGAGAAAUUUGGAUUAAUACCCCAUAGUGUAUUAAUGAGGCAUCUCAUUUUUAUUAAAGAUUUAUCGGUUAUGGAUGGCUAUGCGUCCUAUUAGUUUGUUGGUGAGGUAAUGGCUCACCAAGGCUACGAUAGGUAGGGGUUCUGAGAGGAAUGUCCCCCACACUGGUACUGAGACACGGACCAGACUCCUACGGGAGGCAGCAGUGAGGAAUAUUGGACAAUGGGCGCAAGCCUGAUCCAGCCAUGCCGCGUGCAGGAAGAAGGCUUUCUAGUUGUAAACUGCUUUUAUUCACGAGGAAUAUGUCCCUUGCGAGGGAUUUUGACGUUAGUGUUUGAAUAAGCACCGGCUAACUCCGUGC
RNAcentral lists this ribosomal RNA (450 nucleotides) under uncultured bacterium. RNAcentral describes it as "bacterial SSU rRNA". It matches the Rfam family "Bacterial small subunit ribosomal RNA", at positions 62 to 508 of the family's 1533-position model. The record is from RNAcentral.